RNAcentral lists this long non-coding RNA (1335 nucleotides) under Phasianus colchicus (ring-necked pheasant). RNAcentral describes it as "lncRNA (ENSPCLG00000019474.1)". The record is from RNAcentral. Lineage: Eukaryota; Metazoa; Chordata; Aves; Galliformes; Phasianidae.
GGGAAACCAAGACACAGACUUGGCCCCUGCCUUGCUCAGGUGGACAGAAUUUCUGCUACAUUUGCUGUGCUGGAUGGGUAAGACUUUUUGUUCUUCCUGUCCUGGAGCUCUGUUCUUGCUGAGAGCAGAGGCACAUGAGCAGCUCCAGUGAUGGGUUGUGCCUCUUGGCAGGUCCAGAAGUGUGGUACAGCAUGAGUUUUCCCCUCUGCUGUUCUCCAGGCUGCAUCUCUACAGCAUGUCCAACCCAGUGUUGGGAAGCCUCUUAGAGCCCAGUGUUGCCAGCCCUUCCCUGUGGGUAUCUCUCAGCAUCACCAUCGAUGUGCUGCUCUCCUUAACGAAGGGCCAACUCUAACCCAGCAACUACAUCUGACCAGGCUUUGCUGUUGAGGUGGGGAAAGCUCAGAAACACGUUCUGCCAUUGCUCUUCUUCCUCCCUUCCCUCUUCUGAGUCCCUCUCCAGGUCCCAUCCACCCACUUGCCACCAGCAUCCCUAGAGGCCAUGCUGAGCAUCACUCCAUGGACCUGACCCCACUGCCAGCCCGUGCUGCCAUUCAGACUGCUGAAGUCAAAUUAGGAUUCAGCGUUGACAGGGGUUGUUCCGAAUGUAACAGGAUCCCGUGGCAGAUGUAAAUCAGACUGCAGGCAUUUUCCUCGUGUUUCAUGAAGGAGACAGGCUUUCAAUGAACUUCACGGAAGGUGCUUGAGGCCAGAGCAGCCCCACAGGCUGCCAAAUGACAGGUGCUACUGGGGGUGACUGGGUGAGCCCUGUUUUUUAAAACAUAAAGAUGUUUCUUUAUAUUUGGGUAGGGACGGGCUGCGGUCACCCGAAGAAGCAGCAGGCAACCUCCGUGCGUUGGGAUAGCACAGCUCAGAUGGGUGAAAACAAAUGCAGCGUGGGGAGCCUCGAGCAGGGAGCAGAGCUGGUGGGUGUCCUCGCGGAGCCGUGAGCGUUGGGGAGCAAAAGACAACAUGAGAGCAGCCGCGAGGCUCGCAGCGCUGCCUGCCCGCUGUAAGGCCCGGCACGGACACUGCGUGGCACUCUUCUCCGCAGCACCGCGCCCGGAGCCCACGGGCUUCCUCGUCCCCGCCGGCUCCACGGCCGCCCCGGGGCUCCCCGGCCCCGCUCGCCCUCUCGGGUCCGGCUUCGGCCCCCGCUGCCGCUUCUCCUUCCAGGCUCUGAGCGGAGCAUCGCGCUCCGACCCGCAGCCGGCCGAGCAGCGCCGGGUUCACCAUCAUCAUCAUCAGAAGACGCGUGUCGGGAUGCGCCAUCCCCCAAAGCAGGUUUCCGUUCAGGCCUUGGUUGCGUUACCUUGGAGGAAUGUUCUCAUGGUGUGA